AGCGAACGCUGGCGGCAGGCCUAACACAUGCAAGUCGAACGAACCUUUCGGGGUUAGUGGCGGACGGGUUAGUAACACGUGGGAACGUGCCUUUAUGUUCGGAAUAACUCAGGGAAACUUGUGCUAAUACCGAAUGGGCCCUUCUGGGGAAAGAUUUAUCGUCUCUAGAGCGGCCCGCGUCUGAUUAGCUAGUUGGUUGAGGUAAUGGCUCACCAAGGCGACGAUCAGUAGCUGGUCUGAGAGGAUGAUCAGCCACAUUGGGACUGAGACACGGCCCAAACUCCUACGGGAGGCAGCAGUGGCGAAUCUUGCGCAAUGGGCGGAAGCAUGACGCAGCCAUGCCGCGUGAAUGAUGAAGGUAUUAGGAUUGUAAAAUUCUUUCACCGGGGAAGAUAAUGACGGUACCCGGAGAAGAAGCCCCGGCUAACUUCGUG
Molecule: ribosomal RNA, 434 nt
Filed under: uncultured bacterium
Lineage: Bacteria
Description: partial 16S ribosomal RNA
Rfam family: Bacterial small subunit ribosomal RNA
Source: RNAcentral